ACAGAAUUAAUCAACCUGCCAACUUCACCAAAGCUCAGAAUUCAAAUUAUAAACCAAAUCGGAUUCAACUACAUACCAAUACAGCCCAGGUUAUAAAUUACACACUAAAGUAAACUAAAACUGAAUUACAAGCUCACGUCAGAGUUAAAAUGCUAGCAAUAAACCCAAAACAGAAUACCAUCUACUGAUCAAUAAAUCAUUUAUUGUAGUCAACAAUCUAACCUGAAUAAAGGCGGCUGCUUUAUCGAACAAGAGAGCGCAUAGAGACGUAAACUUUGGUAUAUUGUUAUACUGUGUGCAUACUGAUUGUUACAUUAACAAAGAAAGAGUCAAAGUGACAUUCACAGGGACCGGCCAGAAAUAUUAUAUUGAUCGAGUGCUGGAAAUCAAUCAAUUAUUGACCAUUUUAUAGAAAUUUCUAUUUC
Molecule: long non-coding RNA, 425 nt
Filed under: Olea europaea subsp. europaea
Lineage: Eukaryota; Viridiplantae; Streptophyta; Magnoliopsida; Lamiales; Oleaceae
Source: RNAcentral